UUGAAGCUACAGUUCUUUACAGAAUAGAGCCUCGAAGCUGCAGUUCUUUACAGAAAAGUGCCUCCUACACUUCAAGAACUUCUAAACACAAAGGAAGGUUUUUUAUUUUCAUAAUUAAUGAGUACCCUCUUUUAAUAAGAAAUUGCUCUUGACUAUCUAAAGUUGUGGUGUUUUUUUAUGGCAGUUGAUUGGGAGUUGUGAAUAAGAAAGACUAUUGUAGCUUCUAAGAGAGAAAGGCUUAUAAAAUUUGGGAGGAAAGAAGAAAUGAAAUCUCUUUGCAGCCAAGGCUGCAAUUCAACUCGCAAAGUGCGACUCUAUUAAGGCUGCUGCCCUCUUACAUCAAUCUUACGUCACUGUGGAUGACAUCAAAGAGGUUAAGGUUCCAUUGGCAGUACUUGGAGCAGAGUUUGACCAUCCAGAGAUUGUCAAACAAUUUGAGGAGCUCUGGAUUCUGACCAGUU
Long non-coding RNA from Humulus lupulus (European hop), 461 nucleotides. RefSeq lists it as uncharacterized. Lineage: Eukaryota; Viridiplantae; Streptophyta; Magnoliopsida; Rosales; Cannabaceae. The record is from RefSeq and is a predicted model, not a curated record. The transcript has 3 exons.